ACAUCAAUCAGAAUCUCCAAAAGAGAAUAAGUUUGAGAAAAAUACUCAUCCGAUAUCCUAUUAUAAAGAAGGUUUAAAUUUCAAAACACCUGAUUUCCCCUAAUCUCAAACAUAUCCGCAACUGAAACAUUGGGGUUAUCCAUUCGCUCAAUAAUAUUCGGAAAACAUAUUUCAAGGGUGAUGUGCCUAACCAUUUAUGAUGCCAAAAUGAUAUAUGAUUUUUCACACCCAAUGAAUAUCUUGAUGAUCUAGCGUUUUGCACAUAUUAAUCGAUCUCCAAUAAUAAGAUAUAUUUCUACUAUUCCUAAAGCCAAUCUACAUACCAAAUCUAUCAAUUCUAUACUUGGCAGCAAUAACUUGAUACCACAACUAGUCUUUUAACUGCAAACUUUUC
Molecule: long non-coding RNA, 394 nt
Filed under: Amborella trichopoda
Lineage: Eukaryota; Viridiplantae; Streptophyta; Magnoliopsida; Amborellales; Amborellaceae
Description: long non-coding RNA (ATRI_LNC000422)
Source: RNAcentral